UACGUAGGUCCCGAGCGUUGUCCGGAUUUAUUGGGCGUAAAGCGAGCGCAGGCGGUUAGAUAAGUCUGAAGUUAAAGGCUGUGGCUUAACCAUAGUACGCUUUGGAAACUGUUUAACUUGAGUGCAAGAGGGGAGAGUGGAAUUCCAUGUGUAGCGGUGAAAUGCGUAGAUAUAUGGAGGAACACCGGUGGCGAAAGCGGCUCUCUGGCUUGUAACUGACGCUGAGGCUCGAAAGCGUGGGGAGCAAACAGGAUUAGAUACCCUGGUAGUCCACGCCGUAAACGAUGAGUGCUAGGUGUUAGACCCUUUCCGGGGUUUAGUGCCGCAGCUAACGCAUUAAGCACUCCGCCUGGGGAGUACGACCGCAAGGUUGAA
RNAcentral lists this ribosomal RNA (375 nucleotides) under uncultured bacterium. Its description in RNAcentral is "bacterial SSU rRNA". It matches the Rfam family "Bacterial small subunit ribosomal RNA", at positions 524 to 898 of the family's 1533-position model. The record is from RNAcentral.